AAGAUCGGUUCAAGAAUGGUCCUCUCUCUCUCUCUCUCUCUCUCUCUCUCUCUCUCUGUGAUUUAUCAAGAUUACUGUUAUGCGUGAUGUGGGUUCUUGUUUAGACGCUUCAUUUGGGCAUAUUUUCCAGACUUAAGGGUUUCUUGCCAGCGUUAGCAGGCAUUUAUGCUACUGGGUUGAGAAAAUUUUGUGUGUUUAGAGCCUUUAGGGUUCUUUGGUGUGUGGUUUACGGUCUGGUGAUUUGGUUUUAGCUGUCUAAGGUUUUGCCUUUUGUGGUCCUUGAUCAAGAAUUGUAAAGAUGUACUCCUCUAUGGGUUGCCUUCUAGAGAAUCAAAUUGAUGGAGUUUUCAUCACCCUGAAAAAAUAUACUACAAAUGAACUGGUUUCGUUUGUGGGUUAACAGGUUAAGGCAAAUUUUGUCUCGCGGGUUCUCACUUGCUUUCCUUUUAUGAUUCUUGGUUAAGAUUUCGAACAUCAGAUAUGGGUAGCUCAUAACCGUUUACACAAGGUUUUUGGGUGGAAUAAGCAGAGUAAUGACCAUUCUUUAUGUAAAGAUGUAUUUCAGCUAAUACUAUUACAUGCCGAGCCCGAGAAAGUUUCAUCCUUUUUCUUCCCCUUUCUAUUGAUAUUAGGUUCUGCUGGCAGAGUGUGUCAACCAUUAGUUCAUGUCUUAUUUUGUCAUUUAUAUUUGAGUGGAUAUCAUACUAAGUGGGAAUGUUCUUGUGGACAACAAACACAGUUGCGGGCAGUACUUACUUUAAAGUUUAGUGCAAAGAGUGAAAUUUUUCCUACAGCUUAUGAUGUUCGUUACUAUAUGAGAUGCAACUCAGCACACGCAAGGAGCGAGGCAUGGGCAAUUAUGUAUAGUUACUUCAUAGUUUAGAAUGAAGAUGUAGCUCUAUAUCCUUGUCUGGAAUCCGCAGUUGAUUUAGCAAUGGCACUGGCCCAGAAGUGUUAACUAAAUUCUAUAAGGUUGCUUGAUGUUGACGGGAAUGAGGUGAAAGUCAUUGGAGAGCCUGAAGUGAGGGGAGGCGAUGCAUCUGAAAUCUCAACUGUUUGCUUCCUUUUACCAGUUUAAUCUCCUCAUCUUGCUCAUUUUCAGCUACAAAAUUCUCUAGUGUUCCUUCCUUUCCUCGGUGUAUAUGCUUGGUCGAAGAUUUGUGCUUCAAAUUGUUUAUUCCUUUUGAAGGAUUUUGGUUGAUUGAUUUGUUUAAGCUUAUCUCGUAAAUGAAUGUUCACAUUCAUUCAUUUCUUUUAAUCGGCAAAAGAAAAUCAUGUUAACAUUCAUCGUUGUCUUGGACAGACAUCAAGAGGAGUUGAUUGUGGGAAACUUGAUAUAAUGCUCAGAUAUGUAUUUCUCAGAGGCUGCAAUUAUCAGGUUGAUAGAAGUGUAUGAUCACAGUUUCAGACCUUUUAGUGCUUCAACUUGAUGAUCAACAGUUGGCAAUGCCAGAGGGAAGUAAAUGUAAUACAUAACUGGCUUAAGGGCUCAACUUUUCUUAGACUCGCGCCUCAGGUCUGUGUCAAUUUUGAGUGCACAAGUCAAAUUACUUGGGAAACUGAGAUUAAGCAAGGGCCCAAAUACCUUAGGAAGAUACUAAUUGGAAUCAAGUUCAGGUUGCUACAAAUGUUACUCUACUUAUCAAAAGAGAAAGGAAUAAGCAAUGCUUCAUUAGAAUAUCACAUUUGGAAAAUUAUGCAUCCUGUAGCUAAUGCAGGGAGUUCCAUAUUGGAUGUUUUGGGGGAUUUUGUUGUUUUUGUAAAUGACUAUGGUUUGUGCGCAGACUUCUGUCACUUCCUAAGUUUCCAAUUCUAAAGAGUUAUUCAUGUUUCUCUGCGACUUAAUGGCAUCAAACAUCCCCCUUUCUCGUGUUAUUCAUGCACACUCAGUCACUUCCUCUCUCAUGGCAUGUAGGCAGACACUUGCACUAUGCAACACCAAUAUCUCCUUGACAAAAACCAGACAGUGAGCACGGACCUAUGGUUUGGGAUUAUGUCUUAACAGUUGAACUUUGAGAUGUAUCAGAUGCCAAUUGAAGAGAUCAGAACUGCUGAUGAAGGUGUCCCUACAGUAAUAUGAGCACCCAAUCCUCCUGUCUCCAUAGCAUAUAGGGAUAUGGCUCUGUGAAUCGUUGGCAAUCUCCUACAAAAAGAAUGACAGAAGAGCAACACUAUCCUGCCUUUGUAGUUGGACCUUUCAACAGAUAACUUAGUUUCUUUUCUGCAGCUUCUGUGGGCAUUCAGAUAUCCAUUUUGUUCAUUCUUUGUCUUGGUAAAUGACGUUAAGCUGUGUAUGUUUGGAGAAUUUCUGGACAAGGAAAAUACUGUAUUUGUACUUGUGUGGAAACAGUGAUGGAUUCUGUAUAGUUGUUUUUCCUGUUUUAACCAAAACCUCUCACUCCAUUGUCCGUCA
This is a long non-coding RNA of Rhododendron vialii, 2413 nucleotides long. RefSeq lists it as uncharacterized. NCBI's taxonomy places the organism in Eukaryota, Viridiplantae, Streptophyta, Magnoliopsida, Ericales, Ericaceae. The transcript has 2 exons. The record is from RefSeq and is a predicted model, not a curated record.